Long non-coding RNA from Macaca mulatta (Rhesus monkey), 2467 nucleotides. RefSeq lists it as uncharacterized. Lineage: Eukaryota; Metazoa; Chordata; Mammalia; Primates; Cercopithecidae. The record is from RefSeq and is a predicted model, not a curated record.
UCAGAACUCCUGGCCUCAAGCGAUCUUCCCACCUUGGCCUCCCAAAGCACUGGAAUUAUAGGCGUGAGCCACUGUGCCUGGCCUAGGCUUGCUUUCUGUGUUAAAUUGUAUGUGGUUUACACUUCUUACCCUCUAGUUCCAUCUAAUAUAAUAGCCAGUUGCUUGAACUUUAUCUCUUUCACUAAUUGUUUGAGUUCUGUUUCUAUGAGUAUCUGGAAUCAUUUUUUUCUGGAGAACUUCCGAAUAUACACCACUCCCAGUACCACACUGUGUAAUGAAGGGGUGGGGACAGGGGCCUCUUGAAAUAACGUUUUCUAAAGGUAUUUAAUUUCAAGGUUACCAGUCUCUGAACCCACCAUGAUAGGACGGAAGUCUUCUCAAAGUGAAAAUAGCAAUAAAAUCUGAGAACUAUGAUUUCUAAUGAAUAAACUUGAAAACCUUUUAAAAAUCAAGCAGUAACGUGUGGAUGAAAGUCAUCUUAAUGCAAAUGUACUAUCCCUACAGGCCUCAGCGGGUACUUGAUACGGCAUCAUUCAGAUAGAGCCCCCUGGCUGUCCACUGUCACGGCUGCUUUAAUAACCUCGGCGUUGACUGUGGCCCACAAAUACACUAAAACAUUUUUAAACAGACAAUUUAUAAAUGACUUAACUUUAUUACCCACUUUUUUUUUCUUUUUUUUUUGACACGGAGUCUCGCUCUGUCGCCCAGGCUGGCGUGCAGUGGCUGGAUCUCAGCUCACUGCAUCCUCUGCCUCCUGGAUUCAAGCAAUUCUCUGCCUCGGCCUCCCGAGUAGCUGGGAUUACAGGCACCCACCACCACGCCCAGCUGAUUUUUGUAUUUUUAGUAGAGACAGGGUUUUAUUAUCUUGGUCACGCUGGUCUUGAACUGCUGAACUCAUGAUCCACCUGCCUUAGCCUCCCAAAGUGCUGAGAUUACAGGCGUUAACCACCACACCUGGCCUAACCAUACCUAAAAAAGGUAGGCUGAGUGUUUGAAUAUGUGGGCCGGGCGCGGUGGCUCACGUCUGUAAUCCCAGCAUUUUGGGAGGCCAAGGCGGGCAGAUCACCUGAGGUCAGGAGUUUGAGACCAGCCUGGCCAACAUAGCAAAACCCUAUCUCUAUUAAAAAUACAAAAUGUAGCCAGGCGUGGUGGGGGCAUGCCAGUAGUCCCAGCUGCUUGGGAGGCUGAGGCAGUAGAAUUGCCUGAACUUGGUGGGUGGAGGUUGUGGGGAGCUGAGAUUGCACCAUUGCACUCCAUCCAGCCUGCCAACAAGAGCGAAACUCCAUCUCAAAAAAAAAAAGCAAAAGUAUAAUGUGUAGAUGUUUUUCAGUAAAUGCAUUUUGUCAUAUCUUAAAAUUCUGCUGGGUAUGGGAGUUUAGGAUUAUGUUCAGCCUCGAGGAAUAGAGGCUACCAUGCGGCUGAAACACUCUUGUGAGUGUAGCCAGUCCAGGACUGUUACGAUAGACAGCUCUGCAGUCCUCCUGGUCCCAGGCUCCUGCUAUCUUCUCCAUAUGGCUUCCACCAAGGUGGAAUUACAGUUCCAUCAGAAUCUGAGGGUGGGACCCAAGCAUCCUGUUUUUUUUUUAAGUUUUCAGGGAUCCUAAUGUGCAGUAACGUUUGAGAAGCACUGGUGAAGCGGUUCAAAAUAAGGACUCUAGCUAGAGUCAAAGGCUGUGUGACUUUGGACAAGUUAAUGAACCUUUUUCCUCAUCUGUAAAAGGAGAAUGAGUACCUACCUUGUGUGGUUACUGUGAAGAUUACAUAAUACAUGGAAAGUACUUAGACUGGUGUCUGAGACAUAGCAUUCAGUACAUUUUCAUGGUCUCCUGAUUACGUUUCUGGAAAUUACUAGAGUUUGUCAAUGCCCUUCCUAAAAUGCAGAGCCCAGGGCUAGACCCCAUUCUGUUCCCUGGGACAUAGGCAUCCCCGGGGAAGGGACUGUGUCUGUGUUCCCAGUGCCCCAGCGGGCCCAGCUUCACCUCCAGCCAUCAUGUCUGUUCCACCAGUGGGAAGGAACAAGGGGAGAAGAGGAUGGCCUCUGCCUUUGAAGACACUUUCAAUUUCUACCUAUAGCCAAUGGCCACACUUUGAAAGAACACCAGCUGCUGGGAAAUAGUCUCGAUUUUAAGCAGGAAAGAAGGUGUGAUGAGGUGAUAAUCAGCAAGGACUUACUGAAGGCCUUAGGACUUCCGAAGGAAUUAUAAAGCAGCUGGGGAGGUGACCCGGCCUGGACAGAAUUGCACAGCCCGGCAUCGAGAACCGGCAAAGCCUCGGUCCUGUGUAGCAGGGACAGAGCAGGACUGGGUGAGCCGUGACUCUGUUCCUGAGACCAACCGUCUCGAACGUAGUUACACCAGCGGCCUGCUGGUUCAUCGCCCAGAAUGUUCUGGAUACUCCUUUGGAUCUUGCCUUCAUAUGCUUUUGUUUUCUACAGUAUGAAUUAAGAGAUUAAAAGGUAAUGCACUUA